This 501-nucleotide ribosomal RNA is filed under the name uncultured bacterium. RNAcentral describes it as "bacterial SSU rRNA". It matches the Rfam family "Bacterial small subunit ribosomal RNA", at positions 899 to 1397 of the family's 1533-position model. The record is from RNAcentral.
ACUCAAAGGAAUAGACGGGGACCCGCACAAGCAGCGGAGCAUGUGGUUUAAUUCGAAGCAACGCGAAGAACCUUACCAAGGCUUGACAUCCCCUUGACCGGUGCAGAAAUGUACCCUCCUCUUCGGAGGCAAGGGUGACAGGUGGUGCAUGGUUGUCGUCAGCUCGUGUCGUGAGAUGUUGGGUUAAGUCCCGCAACGAGCGCAACCCUUGUCCUUAGUUGCCAUCAAGUGAAGUUGGGCACUCUAAGGAGACUGCCGGUGAUAAACCGGAGGAAGGUGGGGAUGACGUCAAAUCAUCAUGCCCCUUAUGUCUUGGGCUACACACGUGCUACAAUGGUCGGUACAACGGGGAGCGAAAGAGCGAUCUGGAGCGAAUCCCAAUAAACCGAUCCCAGUUCGGAUUGUAGGCUGCAAUUCGCCUACAUGAAGUCGGAGUUGCUAGUAAUCGCGAAUCAGAACGUCGCGGUGAAUGCGUUCCCGGGUCUUGUACACACCGCCCGU